AAGCUUUGCUGGUAUAAACUGACCCAUGCUGCUAGGUGUUUUGGUGCCUUUGUGUCCAAAUGGGGGAUAACUCAUUUCAGGGCCUGGGCCCCAGGCAUUACUUCUGUCACUCUCUUAAUUUAGAGAGAACCGUUGAUGGAGAGACCUCCAAGAGGUCUCUGUUUAUUCUUCUUUUCCUAAUGGAGAUCAGGCAUGGAAGAAAGGAGAAAAGACUGAAGUUGAUGUCUAAAAUAGGUGGAUUUUCUUUCCCAUCAGGAGAGUGUCCCAGAAACGAAUGUGAUUGAUUGGCUUUAGAAGGCAUGGACCGAUCUGUAACCUAAAGGAAUCAAUCUUUUUUUCCUCUGUAAACAUUUUGGAUACAUUUGAUACAGCAGAUCUUAAACAUUUGUGCAGUACAAGUAGAGGAUAUACUCUUCCUUGCUUUCCUCACAAAAGGCUUUGAGAGAGUUGGAAAUCCUGAAAUAGAGAUGGCGGAAGGAGCUCAGAGUGGAGUUUUUAGAGCAGAACUUCCUCAACAUUUAUAUCUGUAAAACUGACAAGUUAUUGACACUAGGAGGCAGCAGAGAUCUAGAGUUGGUGAAUCCGAUCAGAUUUUUUUCAGCCUGAAAUGAGGUUGAGGAUGAAGGUUAAUCCAGACUAGUCUAUACCUGUUUCUCUAGUUGUGAAAUGAAAGAGCUGCUUGCUUGUAAUCACCUUAGAUUCGUCGAUCCAGUGAUUGAACAAACACGUACCAUCAGAAAAUCAAAGCCCUUUGAAAUCCCGUGUCUUGCCUUCUUAAGAAUGAACAUUUCCCACACCUCAUUGCUAAAAAUCUGAGCUUUUAACAUUAAUUUUAAAUUGCAUUUUAAGUGAGACACUAAUUAAAAUACAGUUAUUAAUAAGGAAGGUGGAUGUGGCCACAUCAAAUCUACAAGCUUUGAUCAAUAAGGUGGUUCAGAGAAUUCUACCAAUAUUGAUUCUAGGAGUGAAUGAAAAAGGCAGAAGCUGAACUAAGGAGACAAUUUUAAAAAAAUGUUAAGCUGAAGUCAGGUAGAUGUCUUUUAAGGUACUUUCACCGUUUUCACCCCUUGACCUUCACACAGGGAAACAGCCCAUUUUACAAUUGGUAAGACUGAGGCUCAGAGACAUUACUUACGCUCAAGGUGACAGAAAGAAUGACAAAGCAGGGAUUAGAACCCGGAUUUCCUGUAGGUUUGCCUGAAUUCACUCUGUCAUGUUGCUUUACCAGGAAUGGCAGCAAAUCCCUGAUGGAUGGCUCAUUGGAAAACAUGUUCGUACAAGGUCAGUUGAGAUUACUAAGUCAUGUGAUGGAUAAUUGCAUCAAAUCAAGAUUUUUUAAAAAAAUCAAUGAAUUAUGGUCAUGGAUUCGGACUAAGAAGAUAAGUUUUAUGAAGGAUGAAUGCAAAGUCUGUAGUUAGAAGCAACUAACUGUAGAAGUUCAGGAUGAGGGAGUUCCUAUGGGAAAGACUUACAGAUUUUAGCUGUGUGCUCAGUAGGGGCCAACAGUAUACAUUUAUAGCCAAAAAGUCAACGAAAGCUUAGACUUCAUUGUUUGGAUAGAGAGAAGUAAUAGCCUUAUUUAUGCCUCUUUAUCAGCCUGUGACCAUUCUGUUCAGUUCUGGGGCAUUUUUAUAGGAACAGUGUUUAAAAAAUAAGAAAGGUGGUGAAGAGCUUGGAAACUAUCUAAAAAUGAAGAAUUAUUAUAAACAUUGGAAAGUCUUGUCCUGGCCAAGAGAAGAAAUAGAGAAGACACAAAACACUGACUUAUAAUGGCUGAAAGUAAGUUAGAUUUAUUCUGUGGUUCCAGAGUCAAAAGUAGGAUCCAGGAAACAGGUUACAAGGAAAUAAAUUUCAGCUCAGUAUCAGUGGUAGCAAAAACAAUUUUUAAAUGAGUGAUUGUGGUGACAUUACUAAUAUUCCAUACUCAUCUUAGAGUAUUUCUAUGUAGGGAAAUAACCUUGACGAGUCUCUUUGGGAUGAAAGGUGAGCUGGCUCUGGUGUGGUCAGAAAGAAGAUAUAGAAAAUAGAGCUCAGUUUUUCUCUGUAAUGAGAUGAGAGGAAUUUUUAUGUUCCCAGGGGAGCUAUGGGAAGAAGGGAGAAAGAGGGUGAGGAGAGCAACCUGGCAGAAGGCCUGCCCUCCCCCCUCGCUGUGGGACACCAGAGUGAGAAACUUGCUGAACAAUUGCUCAGGGCAGUGAACUUUAACAUUCAGUUUGACAUUAUGUUGUGACCUAUCUAAUAAAAGAGUAAUAUGCAAACUGACCAUCACUCCAACACACAAGAUGGCCACCUCCAUGUGGUCAAAGAUGGCUGCCACAAGAUAGCCGGCAGGGGAGGGCAGUUGUGGGCGAUCAGGCCUGCAGGGAAGGACAGUUGGGAGUAACCAGGCCGGCAGGGUAGGGCAGUAGGGGCAACUGGGCUGGCAAGGGAGGGAAGUUAGGCUGGUGGGAUCGGGCCUAAAUGGGCAGUCGGACCCUUGAGGGGUCCCAGAUUGGAGAGGGUGCAGGCUGGGCUGAGGGACACACACACACACACACACACACACACACACACACACACACACACCCUGUGCACGAAUUUCAUGCCCCGGGCCUCUAGUUGGGGGGAAUAAAAAAGAGGACUAAGGUUCAGGAUGGAGGGAAGUGACCAGUGAGAUAAGACAAUGAAUGAGGGCACUGAGGUGUGAGCAAGCGAAUCUCUAACCUGGACUGCCUAGAUUUAUGUCGGUAUCUGGGAAAUCCAUGAGAAUGUCGGGGAGGCAGCCCAGACCUGCUUUAUGUAGAUAUCAAAGAUAAAGGUGACUUCAGAGGACAGAGGGAUUAGGGAUAUCUGCAUCACACAAGGGAGACUUAAAAUUAAAAUUGUCCAACAGCCCUGGCCAGGUAGCUCAAUUGGUUAGUGUCAUCCUGAUACACUAAGGUUGUGGGUUUGAUCCUAGUCAGAGCACAUAAAAGAAUUAACCAAUGAAUGCAUAUAUGGAUGAACAACAAAUUGAUGUCCCCCCCCCUUUCCUCUCUAAAAUCAAUCAAUCAAAUAAUCGAUUUUUAAAAAAGAGUUGUCCAGCAAAAGGUAGUGCUCUCUGGUCACUAGGAGAGCUCUCUGGGUAGCAUCUGUUAAAGGUGUUGCAGGGGGAAUUCUUGCAUUGUUUAGGAGGCUGCACCAGAUGAGCUCUAAGGAUCUGGAUAAAUGAAACUCACUGCCUUUCCCUCUACCUGCGUUAUUAUGUCCUUUCAUUCAAGGAUCAACUUGGGUUGGCAAGAAGUCAAUGUGCCUUAAUACAUUAAUACUUACAUAACGUUACUUUUUAGAGGUCUGACUCUACUUUUCCAUCCAUCCAUUUAACAAGUGCCUGUUUUGCUUCAGUCAUUGUGCUACCCUUUGUUGGAACACGCUCGUUAAUUAGGCAUGAUUCCUGCUGUUUUAUGAGCUAACGUUUUGGUAUGCACGAUGCUUAUUCUAACAAGGGCUUUCUGAGUUAGGAAUCUGCAGUAGUGGGGGUAGCGUCUGGGAACCUGGAGACCUUUGUUCUCACCCCAGCUUUGCCAUGUGACCCUAGUAGGCACAGAACCUCUGUAAAUCUCGAAUUACCCAUCUAUAAAGUAAAGGUGCACAGCUCUUCUGGUUGUCACAGCUCCAAAGCCUAUAACAUUUAGGCACAUGACCUAGGACACGAAGCAAGCAGAUGUCUUGACACCUUAAGUGGAGUCCUCUAGAAAUUCAUUCUAAAAAUACCAGGUCAGUACUUCUCCUAAUUGUUAAGGUCAUCAAAAGCAAGGAACGUCUGAAACACUGUCACAGCUAAGCUGAGUAACAGGCAUCCUGAAUGGGGUCCUGGGACAGUAGAGGGACAGUAGGAACAAUGAAGGAGACCUGAAUAAAGUAUGGACUUUAGUUAAUAACAUUGUGUCAAUAUUGGUUCGUUAAUUGUGUGGACGAAAGGGGCCACAUGCUAACCUGACAAGCUCAGGGAAGGCCUGCAUGGCAGUCUUGCAAACUCAGAGACCUAAAGUAACCACAAAGGAUGGUCUGAAAUUAAACUUUAACUAAAAGCAGUUAUGGUGGGUAGUUACAUCCUAGGCUGGUAUCUUCACUGACAAGGUCAACGUUUACCUUAACUGAGCCUAUCUGUCUUUUUGCAUCUAUAAUAACAUACCCUUGAAAUGUCUGGGUAACUUGUAACUUCCCUUUUUCUGGAGCCCCUGGGGCACAACCUAAUGUGCUGGGUGCCAGGACAGAUACCACAAAUUCCUUCAUUAUUAUCGUGUUAAUUGUUCCUGCACCCACCUAAGGGUGUGUCUGUCAUUUUACUUUAUAUCCAAUCCCAGGGGUUUUCCCGCUUUGCUUUCUCCCACCUCUCUAGUCUAUCACCAGUGGAUUUCAUGUAACCCACCUACAUCCCUUUCUUUUGAUUGCAAGGUAUAAAUACAGAUGUAACCCACCAUUCUCCAGAGCAUUAUCUCAAUUGGAGGUUCUGCUUCCCAGCAUAUGUCGACAGUUUGGCUCAAAUAAACUCACAGAAAUUAUUUACAGGUUUCAGUGGUUUUUUACAUUAACAAUUGUGACGAAUAUAGUAUAAGAUGUUAAUACAAAGGGAAACUGGGUGUGGAGCAUAAGGGAACUGUCUGUACUCUCUAAUUUUUCUGUAAGUCUAAAACUCUUCUGAAAUAAAAAGGUUAUUCACAUGUA
Molecule: long non-coding RNA, 4686 nt
Organism: Myotis daubentonii (Daubenton's bat)
Lineage: Eukaryota; Metazoa; Chordata; Mammalia; Chiroptera; Vespertilionidae
Source: RefSeq, a predicted model, not a curated record